AAAAAUUGGAUGAUAAUAUAUGGUAUAAUAAUCUUUAAAAAAUGUUAACUUUAUACGUACAAUACUGUUAAAUAAAUUGACAAUUUCCUAACCUAAACUAGUCUAAAAGGCCAAUAAUGGUUAGCCAUGCUCAUGGGCUAUGCCACCCGUCUAGACCUGAUGCCCUAUCCAAAAAUUGAGAGGGUUUGGACAAAACUAUGAAACACAAAAAAUGGGCUCGGGUAAUGUACAAGCCCAAUUUACGGGCCCAACUAACCCAACUAAAAUCUAACCCAGACCCAGACCCAAUAGAAGCCCACUAAAGACCCAAAUAACCCCAAAACCUACUAAACCCAAAACCCAACAGCAGCCCAAUUCAAACCCUAAAACGAAAAGAACAACAAACCCUAGCUGCUGCCUCCCUGUCUCAUCCACCACCGAUGCCUGCAAGCACCGCCACUGUGCCACCGCCCCACUUGCACCUGCAACAUUAAAUGUGGAGAAUAGGCCGAUAUAAAAAAACAAAGGCAUGUAAAUGGCUAUUUAAAAGCUGAAUGAAAAACCAUUUUUUUCGGCACUUUUGAUGAAAUGAUAAGCAAUAUUAGAAUUUAAAAAAAGCAGAACAAGAGAUCCCAGCAAUAUUAAUAACAGGAAUACCGAGAAGCAAAGUUUAAUAACCUAAGGUGAUUAUUUUUUUUUCUUUCUUUUUUCUUAUUUUUUUUCUUUUUCAAAUCAUUGACGGGCAUUAAUAUAUAUACACAUUAGAGAUACACAUAAAAGAAGUAUAUAAAAAAGGGAAGAAAAAAUAAACAUACCUUUUCCAUCUGCACGGUGGCCGGCACAGCGGAGGGCACAGUGGUACUCGACUGAGCCAGUGCCGGAGACCGAGGCCAAAGAUAGAUAGGGGGAGAGGAUUCGAUUUUUUUGAAA
RNAcentral lists this long non-coding RNA (909 nucleotides) under Gossypium barbadense (sea-island cotton). Its description in RNAcentral is "long non-coding RNA (GBAR_LNC004794)". Lineage: Eukaryota; Viridiplantae; Streptophyta; Magnoliopsida; Malvales; Malvaceae. The record is from RNAcentral.